This 487-nucleotide ribosomal RNA is filed under the name uncultured bacterium. RNAcentral's name for it is "bacterial SSU rRNA". It matches the Rfam family "Bacterial small subunit ribosomal RNA", at positions 30 to 509 of the family's 1533-position model. The record is from RNAcentral.
AUUGAACGCUGGCGGCAUGCCUUACACAUGCAAGUCGAACGGCAGCACGGGAGCAAUCCUGGUGGCGAGUGGCGAACGGGUGAGUAAUAUAUCGGAACGUGCCCAGUCGUGGGGGAUAACGCAGCGAAAGUUGUGCUAAUACCGCAUACGAUCUAUGGAUGAAAGCGGGGGAUCGCAAGACCUCGCGCGAUUGGAGCGGCCGAUGUCAGAUUAGGUAGUUGGUGGGGUAAAGGCUCACCAAGCCAACGAUCUGUAGCUGGUCUGAGAGGACGACCAGCCACACUGGAACUGAGACACGGUCCAGACUCCUACGGGAGGCAGCAGUGGGGAAUUUUGGACAAUGGGCGCAAGCCUGAUCCAGCCAUUCCGCGUGCAGGAUGAAGGCCUUCGGGUUGUAAACUGCUUUUGUACGGUAACGAAACGGCGAGCUCUAAUACAGUUUGCUAAUGACGGUACCGUAAGAAUAAGCACCGGCUAACUACGUGCC